CACACCCUCCCCAUGGCCAUGGUUGUCACUCAUGAACCCUGUCUCCAUCACUUCCCAGCUGCUCUCUCUUCUCCAGAUGCUGGAUGUGACAGUGUCCCAACUCCUAAACUUACAGCCCAGCCUGGCAGCACAAGUCACCCCAAAGCACCGAGACAUAAAGGAGAGCUGGGCACAGCUCCAACAGGCACUGAGGACAGGGAAAGUUCCAGCACGGGGAGGCAGUUCCCCGGGGGGCAAAGCUGCAGCUCCAAAUGUUGAGCCUCGAGGAGACGAUAGCAGUCAUGGGGCUGUGGGUAAGAAAGCAGCAGCCAAGUGGACAAGAGGACUCGGCAGCAUGGUACUAAAAGAUGUGCUGGAGAAGAUGGCAGAGCACAAGAAAGGAGAGGAAAGCAACCCUGGCUCCCCAGCAGUGGGACAGGCCCCUCAUGGAGGGGACAACAAAAGGAGGAGAGAGGCAGAGGCUGAGUGCGGGCUGCAGCAGCUGGAGACCCAAGUGCAGGAUGUCUGCCAGGAGGAACCAGCACGAGGAAGGACUCCCAGGAGCCCUCGGGUGGAGGCCAUGCUGUGGGAACUGGGAGAGUUAUGGGAGGACCUGCAGAGGAGGCAUCACGAGAAUGGCGUAGUGCUGCAAGAAAUCGAUAAGGUACGUGGUGUCAG
RNAcentral lists this long non-coding RNA (657 nucleotides) under Chloebia gouldiae (Gouldian finch). Its description in RNAcentral is "Erythrura gouldiae (Gouldian finch) lncRNA (ENSEGOG00005003353.1)". The record is from RNAcentral. Lineage: Eukaryota; Metazoa; Chordata; Aves; Passeriformes; Passeridae.